Long non-coding RNA from Cryptotermes secundus, 417 nucleotides. RefSeq lists it as uncharacterized. The record is from RefSeq and is a predicted model, not a curated record. The transcript is spliced from 2 exons. NCBI's taxonomy places the organism in Eukaryota, Metazoa, Arthropoda, Insecta, Blattodea, Kalotermitidae.
UUACCGUAAAUUUACCGAAUUACCGCAAAAUUACUUUUACUACCGAGCAUUUCCGAUAGUAACGCUGAUUGUCUUUUCUACAGGUUGAACUACUGCAUUUAAAAUACACAAUUAUUGGGCUUUUGUCCUUUUUCCAUCGUCCGGAAUUCCAGAAUGUGAAACAACGUGAUGGCUGGUAGUAACUAAUGAAGCACUGGCACAAAGAGCACGCAAUGUGGAAUGCAGACGGAUCAUAAACAUGUCUACAAACCAGGCAUAAAAUAUUGUUUACAACUCAGUACCUAUAAAAAUGCAGAUGUCACAUAUGUUUUUAAACAAAUUUAAUGCAGACAGUAUCUGUACAUCACUGAUAUGUUCUUCUUAAGAUGAUGAUGCUAAUCUGUAAUGUAUUUAAGUAAUAAACAAAAUCUGACUCAA